CAAGUCGAACGAAGCUUGACGGAUGAUUUCUUCGGAAUGAAACCAGAUAUGACUUAGUGGCGGACGGGUGAGUAACACGUGAGCAACCUGCCUUUCAGAGGGGGAUAACGGCUGGAAACGGUCGCUAAUACCGCAUGAUGUGUUCGGAUGGCAUCAUCUGAACAUCAAAGAUUUAUCGCUGAAAGAUGGGCUCGCGUCUGAUUAGACAGUUGGUGGGGUAACGGCCUACCAAGUCGACGAUCAGUAGCCGGACUGAGAGGUUGAACGGCCACAUUGGGACUGAGAUACGGCCCAGACUCCUACGGGAGGCAGCAGUGGGGAAUAUUGCACAACGGGGGAAACCCUGAUGCAGCAACGCCGCGUGAAGGAUGACGGUUUUCGGAUUGUAAACUUCUUUUCUUAGUGACGAAGACAGUGACGGUAGCUAAGGAAUAAGCAUCGGCUAACUACGUGCCAGCAGCCGCGGUAAUACGUAGGAUGCAAGCGUUAUCCGGAUUUACUGGGUGUAAAGGGAGCGCAGGCGGGACUGCAAGUUGGAUGUGAAAUACCGUGGCUUAACCACGGAACUGCAUCCAAAACUGUAGUUCUUGAGUGAAGUAGAGGCAAGCGGAAUUCCGAGUGUAGCGGUGAAAUGCGUAGAUAUUCGGAGGAACACCAGUGGCGAAGGCGGCUUGCUGGGCUUUAACUGACGCUGAGGCUCGAAAGUGUGGGGAGCAAACAGGAUUAGAUACCCUGGUAGUCCACACUGUAAACGAUGAUAGCUAGGUGUGGGGGGUCUGACCCCUUCCGUGCCGGA
This 796-nucleotide ribosomal RNA is filed under the name uncultured bacterium. Its description in RNAcentral is "bacterial SSU rRNA". It matches the Rfam family "Bacterial small subunit ribosomal RNA", at positions 58 to 850 of the family's 1533-position model. The record is from RNAcentral.